RNAcentral lists this ribosomal RNA (501 nucleotides) under uncultured bacterium. RNAcentral's name for it is "partial 16S ribosomal RNA". It matches the Rfam family "Bacterial small subunit ribosomal RNA", at positions 30 to 523 of the family's 1533-position model. The record is from RNAcentral.
AUUGAACGCUGGCGGCAUGCCUUACACAUGCAAGUCGAACGGCAGCACGGGUGCUUGCACCUGGUGGCGAGUGGCGAACGGGUGAGUAAUACAUCGGGACGUACCUUAUCGUGGGGGAUAACGCAGCGAAAGUUGCGCUAGUACCGCAUACGCCCUGAGGGGGAAAGCGGGGGACCGUAAGGCCUCGCGCGAUUAGAGCGGCCGAUGUCUGAUUAGCUUGUUAGUGAGGUAAAAGCUCACCAAGGCGAUGAUCAGUAGCUGGUCUGAGAGGACGAUCAGCCACACUGGGACUGGGACACGGCCCAGACUCCUACGGGAGGCAGCAGUGGGGAAUUUUGGACAAUGGGGGCAACCCUGAUCCAGCAAUGCCGCGUGAGUGAAGAAGGCCUUCGGGUUGUAAAGCUCUUUUGUCAGGGAAGAAACAGCAGCUCUAACACAGUCUGCGAAUGACGGUACCUGAAGAAUAAGCACCGGCUAACUACGUGCCAGCCGCCGCGGUAA